GUUCCCCAACCCAGUCCUCAGGGACCACCAACAAUCCAGGAUUAAUGUAUUUCCCUGUUUUAUUCGAAUAAAUAUACUGACAAAACCUGUACUGUUGGUGGUCCAUGAGGACUGGGUUGGGGAA
This 124-nucleotide microRNA precursor is filed under the name Pelobates cultripes (western spadefoot toad). The record is from RNAcentral. Lineage: Eukaryota; Metazoa; Chordata; Amphibia; Anura; Pelobatidae.